AUUGAACGCUGGCGGCAGGCCUAACACAUGCAAGUCGAGCGGAUGAAGGGAGCUUGCUCCUGGAUUCAGCGGCGGACGGGUGAGUAAUGCCUAGGAAUCUGCCUGGUAGUGGGGGAUAACGUCCGGAAACGGGCGCUAAUACCGCAUACGUCCUGAGGGAGAAAGUGGGGGAUCUUCGGACCUCACGCUAUCAGAUGAGCCUAGGUCGGAUUAGCUAGUUGGUGGGGUAAAGGCCUACCAAGGCGACGAUCCGUAACUGGUCUGAGAGGAUGAUCAGUCACACUGGAACUGAGGCACGGUCCAGACUCCUACGGGAGGCAGCAGUGGGGAAUAUUGGACAAUGGGCGAAAGCCUGAUCCAGCCAUGCCGCGUGUGUGAAGAAGGUCUUCGGAUUGUAAAGCACUUUAAGUUGGGAGGAAGGGCAGUAAGUUAAUACCUUGCUGUUUUGACGUUACCGACAGAAUAAGCACCGGCUAACUUCGUG
RNAcentral lists this ribosomal RNA (484 nucleotides) under uncultured bacterium. Its description in RNAcentral is "partial 16S ribosomal RNA". It matches the Rfam family "Bacterial small subunit ribosomal RNA", at positions 30 to 507 of the family's 1533-position model. The record is from RNAcentral.